UCCCGAAAUUCAUGUCGCAGCUGUCAUUUUGCAAUUUAGUCCUCAGCCUUCUCCCGACCGAACCCGAAGUCCCUCUGCGUGGUCGCUCUCUUCCUCCUUCCUCUCCGACCGGCCGGCACCACCGACGCCGUUUCCCUCCGCGCAGCUCCACGCUGCCUGCGCCUCCUCCCCCUCCCCCGCAGUUCCUCUCCCUCCCCAGCGCCGGCGCCCUCUCCCUUGCGCGCGUUACCGGCGCUCUCUUCCUCUCGCAUGUCCCUCCGCAUCGGUAAAAAACCGAUUUUCCCCCUCCGGCUCUUCGAUCUGCAGCGGUCGUGCUCAGUCUGCGGCGGAGACUACCAAUACGGCGCGACAGAGCUACUUCUGCCGGUCGCCUGCACGGGGCUGCUGCUGCUUGUCGUCAGGUGAGGAGCUCAUCUCCUGCAGCCGCGGCUACCUGGCCGCCUUCGUCAUGCUCAUCCAGCAUCAACACAGGUCUGACUACGACGUGGCUACGGCCCACGCAGCAGCGGCGGCGGGAUGGUGGCGGCGAGCUCCGACAUGUUCCUCCAUCCGCUCUAGGACUCCACCGCCAAGCACACCAACCUCAAGGCAUAUGAUGUGCACCCUUGGUCGCCCGGUCCGACGAACUGCUAACGAAACAACGCCCAACGUCAUGAGUGUGCUCACGUUCUGCAAUCAAGCAACCGCCCUUCUCCGUUCUCCUCCAGCAGCAGCAAAAGGUUAAACUUUGCAAUCGUUUUUUACGGUAAGGAAUCAACCCAUCACCCACAUGAAGUUAGCUAGCUGGGUGAUCCUGAUCCAAAUGAAUUAAAGGUGACCUCCUCAAAGUAGUCCAAAGAGAACCUUGCAAGUCCAAGAGAGAACCACCAUACUUGGCAAAAAUGGCAACAUCAAUGUCAAUCAACAGCAUCUAGGCAUUUGGACGAUAAAACAACAUCAAUAUCAAAGAAUUUGAAGAUGCCUCAAAGCAUAGUUUAGCAAAAAGAACACUGGAGGAGGAACUGGAGCAACUCUGCUUGCCGGAUGAGAUUUGAGCACGAAGCUCCUUAACUCGAAGGCCGGAGUGAACAAACAUCCCAGCAAUCAUGUGCUGCCAAGGACACUUAAUAAUCUCGAGUGAAGUUGGAAGCCAUUGGAUCUUUUUCGAACUGCAACUAGCAGGACAUCAACUCCAAAAUUAUCAAAGAGUGCAGAGGAGGAGCAGCAACAACAACACGGGCACGGGAGAAGCAGGCGACAGGGGAGAAUCACGGGAGACAGCAGAGCUCCACCAGCAGGAGCUCGAGGAGAAGCAGCAGUGGGAGCUCGGGAAGAAGCAGCAAUCGGAGCUCAAGGAGAAGCAACAGGGGGAGCUCGAGGACGCGCGGGAGAGCAGUUCUGGGCGGAAGCGCGGAUCUUGGCGGCGGCGCAUGUAUGGGCGGCGGCGGCAGAGCAGUUGGGCGGCAACGCAAGUCUGGGCGACGGGAGGGGAUCGAGGCGGCGGAGGCGACGCCCCUAGGAACCGCGGCUGGAGGGGACCGCAGCUGGCCGGCGCCGGCCCCUCGGACGAUGAGCGGAGGAAGAAGACGGGGCGGAGGGGUCUGUUUGAGACAAUUUUGAGAUGACGAGGUUUUGUUUGCAAAUUUACCAAUGAACUGGGCGUGCGACAUUAAUUUCGGGACGGAGGGACCGGCGACGCACACAAACCCUAAUUCCAGAAACAUCCCCUCCGACCUAGGCUAUGGCUUUCAUCGUGUCCAAGCUCGCGCGGGCAGCCCUCGCAUCCCGCCCCGUUGGAGAUAUUGCUGGUGGCAUCUCCCCAUGUCUCUCCCGGCUCUAUCUGGCGGCUUGUACCAGCCGUCGCAUGUUUGCAGCUUCUGGCGGUCCCAUGUCAAAAGAUGCACCCCGAAUAUUUCCCCUUGUUGAUGAGAAUUCCAUUAAGUCGAAGGAAUCCCUAUGGGCCUUGUAUGAAUGCUGGUGCAAGUAUUGGGGGGUAUCCCGUGACCGUGAAGAGAUGGUCCGCCGGUUCAAGUCAUUUGAGGCUACUGCACAGUGGGUUUACAAAAUGAACAACUCUGAGUGUUCGCAAGUGUCUCAACUGGGCCCGCAUGCAGAUAUGUCAGAGAGGGAGUUUGCUCAGCUGUUUCCUCCACUUCCUGAGGAUGAUGAUGAAGACAUAGAAGUGCUGGUGCCCGGUGAAGAUUUGGGCCAGGAGCUUGAGGAGCCCUUAAAUAAUUAAACUAUGAACUUGUCUUACUCCAUCCGUUCCCAAAUAUAAGUCUUUCUAGAGAUUCAACAAGUGACUACAUACGGAGCAAAAUGAGUGAAUCUGCACUCUAAAAUAUGUCUACAUGCAUACGUAUGUUGUCCAUUUGAAAUGUCUAAAAAGACUUGUAUGUAGGAAUGGAGGAGUAUUUGGUUGUGGUAAUACUGUGGUACUGGGAUUAUUGUUGUUAUCUGGUUGUUCUCAUGGAACCAAAUUAGAAUUGAAAUAACUUUGUGUUAUUGCUCUAACCACCUUUGCAUUA
This is a long non-coding RNA of Triticum dicoccoides, 2507 nucleotides long. RefSeq lists it as uncharacterized. NCBI's taxonomy places the organism in Eukaryota, Viridiplantae, Streptophyta, Magnoliopsida, Poales, Poaceae. The transcript is spliced from 7 exons. The record is from RefSeq and is a predicted model, not a curated record.